GGAAGAAAAUAGCAACAAGGCCCCAAAGGUGGAAGUGCAGCCUGAGAACCGAGCCAGCCUGGGACUGCUCUGCCAGCACAGCUUGCCACCCCGCAGAGCACAGCAGGCGAUGCUCUCAGGCUUCAUGGUACUGCUAUCCCUCCUAGGAUGGGAAAAACAAAGCUCAGAGAGGUAAAAUAACUUGCCCAAGGACACACAACCAGGAAACAAAGGAGCCAGGAUUCAAACCCCAAGCGUGGCCAGCUCCAAAGCCCAGACUAUGACAGCAGCGACUUGAGUUCUCAAGUGAAAAAUGAAAAUGGGGUCUUUCUGGAAUCAGCAAGGAUUGCAGAGUGGUAAGGUUAGAAGGCACCUUAUGUAAGAGCCUGGCACAUGACCUAGGUCGUGAUCACUCUAGCUUCAAAGGAGUCUGGGAAGGUGCAUGUUCUUAAAUGGGCACACUCCUGCCUUAAACACAACUGGAGGUCUGUCAGUGAAGAAUAAGGGGAGAUUGAAGAUCAAGAGGCCAAUCAGGAGUGCCUGACAAACCACUGCCACAAACAAGCAGACCAACUGGAUUCCAAUUUUCUUACUCAAUCUCAGAAGCCUAAACGAAAGUGAUCAUUUUCAAGCUGGAAUUUUGAGCAGAGAUUUCAGCUCUUCAUAUAUGGUGCUAAGCCAUAUGUAUAAAAAGUAAAAAAUUCCAUCAAAUACUUGGUCCUUUUAUCUAUAUAAUACUAAAUAUAUAUGCUGAAACCAAAACAUGUGGAAUAAUCUUUCCUCCUUGGAAUUCUUAAUCACUAUAUACUUUAAUUUUAUACUUAAUUUAAAAAAUCAGCUUUCAAGAAGUCCAUUCACUACAAUAGCCAGGAUAUGCAACCAACUUAAGUGCUCAUCAAUACAUGAAUGGAUAAAGAAGAGGUGGUACAUAUACAAUGGAAUCUUGCCAUUGGCAACAACAUGGAUGGACCUAGAGGGUAUUCUGCUAAGUGAACUAAGUCCGAGAAAGAAAAAUACCAUAUGAUUUCACUUAUAUGUGAAAACUAAACAAAGCAAAAACCAGAAAUAGACUCAUAAAAACAGAGAACAAAUUGGUGGUUGUCAGAAGGGGAGGGAGCCAGGGGAUAGGUGAAAUAGGUGAA
Molecule: long non-coding RNA, 1121 nt
Organism: Manis pentadactyla (Chinese pangolin)
Lineage: Eukaryota; Metazoa; Chordata; Mammalia; Pholidota; Manidae
Exons: 4
Source: RefSeq, a predicted model, not a curated record